GUAAACGGAAAAAUCCAUAAAAGCAGAGAGUUAAGACACUUUAACUCACGUGCAGUAAGGCUGGUUAUCACAGAGUGCAGCUCAAAUACAUACAUUUUUACCAUACUUGAAGAUAAACGUCAGAAUGAAUUCCAGGUUUUCCAUGCCAGAGCAAGUACUGAACUAAAAAUUCUGAAACAUAUUCUUGUCCA
Molecule: long non-coding RNA, 191 nt
Organism: Dreissena polymorpha
Lineage: Eukaryota; Metazoa; Mollusca; Bivalvia; Myida; Dreissenidae
Exons: 2
Source: RefSeq, a predicted model, not a curated record